GGAUCUGAGGGUGAACUGGCUGUGACAUCUGUCAUCCCAUCGAUAGUCAGGGUUGAUUCGGCUGAUCUGGCUGGCUAGGCUGGUAUCCCCUUCUUCUCUCACUGCUCCAUGUGCAUGCACACUCGGUCAAAGAGGACGACCUUCCCGAAUAGAGGAGGACUGGCCUUCAGUCACGGGUAUAUGAAUAGCUGCACUCCCCUGCUAGAACCUCCAAACAAGCUCUCAAGAAUCAUAGUGGAACCUAUCAUGAAGGACUGAUGAUUAGAUGAGUUAUUUGUUCAUC
RNAcentral lists this small nuclear RNA (283 nucleotides) under Neotoma lepida (desert woodrat). Its description in RNAcentral is "7SK RNA". It matches the Rfam family "7SK RNA". Rfam says of the family: 7SK was discovered as an abundant small nuclear RNA in the mid-70s but a possible function has only recently been suggested. Lineage: Eukaryota; Metazoa; Chordata; Mammalia; Rodentia; Cricetidae. The record is from Rfam by way of RNAcentral.